This 469-nucleotide ribosomal RNA is filed under the name uncultured bacterium. Its description in RNAcentral is "partial 16S ribosomal RNA". It matches the Rfam family "Bacterial small subunit ribosomal RNA", at positions 28 to 507 of the family's 1533-position model. The record is from RNAcentral.
GACGAACGCUGGCGGCGUGCUUAACACAUGCAAGUCGAACGGUGAAGCGAGUGCUUGCACUCGUGGAUCAGUGGCGAACGGGUGAGUAACACGUGAGUAACCUGCCCAUCACUCUGGGAUAAGCACUGGAAACGGUGUCUAAUACUGGAUACGGCCAACCCUUGCAUGGGGUGUUGGUGGAAAGAUUUAUCGGUGAUGGAUGGACUCGCGGCCUAUCAGCUUGUUGGCGGGGUAAUGGCCCACCAAGGCGACGACGGGUAGCCGGCCUGAGAGGGUGACCGGCCACACUGGGACUGAGACACGGCCCAGACUCCUACGGGAGGCAGCAGUGGGGAAUAUUGCACAAUGGGCGAAAGCCUGAUGCAGCGACGCCGCGUGAGGGAUGACGGCCUUCGGGUUGUAAACCCCUUUCAGCAGGGAAGAAGCGAAAGUGACGGUACCUGCAGAAGAAGCACCGGCUAACUACGUG